Molecule: long non-coding RNA, 2040 nt
Filed under: Cairina moschata (Muscovy duck)
Lineage: Eukaryota; Metazoa; Chordata; Aves; Anseriformes; Anatidae
Description: domestica (muscovy Duck (domestic type)) lncRNA (ENSCMMG00000013638.1)
Source: RNAcentral
GAAGGUCUAAUUUUAAGUUGAUUUUGCCAAACGAAUCAGAGUUAUAUUUAGUUUAAGCCGCGUGCCUUGCACCUCUCUGGGUUGUUAGAAGGCUUUUUUGGGGGAAGGGUGGGAGCAGAAAUGAGAGAAACCACAGAGGGCCUGAUCCUAACAGCCAGGCUUUGGUAUGUUGCAGAUGGACCAAAAGCUGCCAGCUUUUUGGAAGGCUGUUGGGCACUGGCCUCAUCAGUGAGCGCUGUAAAAACUCUUCCUUGUACUGGGUUAACUCCCUGUUACACAGCUUCUCCUUUAAAAAGAAAUACUGCUUAUAUUGCAGUACAACACGAUCGUUGGGAUAUCCAGAACAGCUGUCGUUUUCAGGGAACUGGUCUGCUGUCACACUGAAGAACGGCUGUGACUGAAGGUGGGAUAUUUCAGUCCCCUUCUGUGGUUGUGCCUUAGCGCAAUAAUUUCUGCCUGUUCCAGCUGGGGUGGGGAGAACCACAGGCCUUUCCUCAGCGAGUUGGAAAACCCUCGCGAGGGAGGAACGGUGAAAGACCUUUAGCCAAGAGGUCCUUGCACGGCCGCGUUUCUGAGGUUCUGCAGCGCUGACGAACCGCCCCGCAGCUGGCACAGCAGCAGCAGGCGGGGCAGCAGUGAGCCCCAGAGCCGUGACGGGCAGGAGCCCCAGCAUGGCAGGUUUCUGCCGCCACCAGCUCCGCGCCGACGUGCAGCCCAUUAGGAGCGAUGUAAGUGAAGCUGCGGAGGCAGCAACAUUCCUGGGCAGCACAGCUCACUGCUUGAGCAGCACACUUGAUCUCAGCUCACCCAAGGAGCCGGAAUAAAGGCCAGCUGGCUCCUGCAGCCCAGGAAGGACCAAGCGGUGGUAGCAAGAGGAGGGAUAUACUUCAAAGCUUUGGCAAACGCGGCUGCUUCGCCCUCCAGGGAGGUGCUUGCCCUCGACUAGUUAAGACAGCACUGCCUUAUUGUCAGGAGGGACUAAUUGCUGCCCUUUGAUACCACAUCACUGCCAGUGCUGCAGCACGAUUAGCUUUGCCGAGCUCUAAGAUUUUAUUUGUUCCUCUCAAACAAUCUUGUCACCUCCGCACCGGCUCCGAGCUCUCCCCUGGGCCAGGGCAGCUGGUGGAAGUGGGACGAGCUCCCGUCCGUCACCGGUCCGCAGGGAGGCUUCAGAGGCCCCCAGGUGCAGUAGUUCUGUGUCUGCUGCGAGGGACAAAUGCAGGAGCUGGAGCAAGCCCCUGUAAGGAGGCACGCUGCUCCAAACGCCUUCUGAAAUGGGGAUCUGCCUGAUACAUGUUAAGACAUCAUUAAACCAGAACACAGCAUGGCUGUAGAAUCAGAGUCGAUCCCUGCGGUGGGAGCAGUGGUGCUGCGGGCGCGGGGGCACUCCCCUCACUUUCCUAAGUCCCAUCAGGUAAAGUAUUUGCAGGUUGGACAAAAACUUGUUCCUCUGCAUGAAACGUAACAAAAGUUGGGGGUAAGUGGAUGGAGGGCAGAGGGUCUGGGUUCCUGAACUUCAAUGCAGAUGUCACCUUGUAACUGUUGCUGCUACAUGUGACUAACGCCGUUUCCUUGUGCUAAGUUUUUCACCUUAGCCAGGUGCUCAGCUCCGUGCUGGGGCAGUUUGGUGCUGCCUCCAAGCGCGAUGCCUCCUGCCGGACUCGGUGCUGUCGGGCACUGCCCUGCCCCAGAAGAACACGGGACUGCCCCUCACAGCACAAUUACUGAGAGGAUAAAAUCUUAUCUGGACAACUCCAGGUGCUGGACAGAAGAGCCCGGGAUGAAGGACGGGGGCUCACCAGCUGCUGUUUCUCUUCCCGAGUGAUGGAUCUCUUCCUAAUGAGCAGGAUCCUGAUUAACUCAUUGCCUCUCACAGCACCUCACCCUGGUCUGACUCCAGGAGUGGUGGCGGAGCCUUGCGAGCGCCCGGCUCCCUCCCGCAGCCAGCGCUGCUGCACCGGUGCUGGCUCUGCCCAAUGAUGUCAUAGCAGAGGGAAGGGAAAAAAGGCGACUGCGAGGCUCCUGAGCAAGUAAACCUCC